GCGAGAGGGACACGCUGUGUGAGGUUGCUGCAGGAACCGACUACCGGAGCCGUGGGUCGUCGCACGAGAGUGUUUGAGUAUGAAUUAUGUGCGGAAUUGGCCAGGUUGGAUGGCGAGCUUAGAGCCCCGAACUAGAGUCUGAAGCUUUAUGCCUGGAACCAAACCACCUGAACUGAACUGAAUCCACCCAACCGAGCCCCGGGCUGGUAGGAGGAUCCUCAGCAGCCGCCCUCUGUUUUCCCUUUUUUUACCAAAACGCAACGUGUUCAUUGCGGUCCUCCUGAACAUUCACUUUUUCCCCGUCCCUUCAAUAAAACCCUUCUGAACACUGCCACCACAACGUGGACUUUGCGGGGCCCGUUUAAUGAACUCUGAACUCGUGUUGCGCUUAUACCAUUGUUGGUAGAAAACAAGGACUGAAUCAAGUACACUGAUUUUGUAAAUAUUGAAAGUUCUGUGAAUUAUUGAAUAUGUGA
This is a long non-coding RNA of Nerophis lumbriciformis (worm pipefish), 476 nucleotides long. RefSeq lists it as uncharacterized. NCBI's taxonomy places the organism in Eukaryota, Metazoa, Chordata, Actinopteri, Syngnathiformes, Syngnathidae. The record is from RefSeq and is a predicted model, not a curated record.